This 68-nucleotide transfer RNA is filed under the name Dipodomys ordii (Ord's kangaroo rat). It matches the Rfam family "tRNA". Rfam says of the family: Transfer RNA (tRNA) molecules are approximately 80 nucleotides in length. Their secondary structure includes four short double-helical elements and three loops (D, anti-codon, and T loops). Further hydrogen bonds mediate the characteristic L-shaped molecular structure. tRNAs have two regions of fundamental functional importance: the anti-codon, which is responsible for specific mRNA codon recognition, and the 3' end, to which the tRNAs corresponding amino acid is attached (by aminoacyl-tRNA synthetases). tRNAs cope with the degeneracy of the genetic code in two manners: having more than one tRNA (with a specific anti-codon) for a particular amino acid; and 'wobble' base-pairing, i.e. permitting non-standard base-pairing at the 3rd anti-codon position. The record is from Rfam by way of RNAcentral. Lineage: Eukaryota; Metazoa; Chordata; Mammalia; Rodentia; Heteromyidae.
GGGAAGGUGGCUCAGUGGUAGAGUGCUUGCCUUGCAUGCAUGAGGCCCUGGGUUCGAUUCCUUAACCA